Molecule: non-coding RNA, 3445 nt
Organism: Microcebus murinus (gray mouse lemur)
Lineage: Eukaryota; Metazoa; Chordata; Mammalia; Primates; Cheirogaleidae
Source: RefSeq, a predicted model, not a curated record
GGAACCGGGGAAGUAAGUUACCACACCAAGGUUAAGUGCUUUGAGAUCGAGGAUCCCCUUCCUUUUUGUGCAUGUCUUCCCCACAAUGGAAGGCAGGGGUUGCUUCAGCCGGGUGGAGUAAGUCUUUUAAGUGGGGCCGUGUUGACAUCAAGGAACAACCUCCUGCUGUUCAGCGUGGAACCUCAGAGAACAAGUCAUGGGACGUUAACCCAAGAUGGUGAAGGCACUCGCCUGAUGUUUUGUGCCAAGGAUGAUUUAUGUUUUUCCUAAAGUCUGCCUAGCUGAGCCACUGUGGGGUGGAAGGUGGUUAUGAAGUCGUGGAAGGAACAGACAGACACUGGAUCUGACACUGAUUUCCCUCUUCUUGUGUACGAGUGGUGACUAGAGACAUUUAGGUCUCCCAGUGGGUACGACUGGGCACGUACCUAUGCACAAAACUUGAGAGGAGGUAUCUGAUACGUGUACAUCCACGUUUCCAGAAGGAAAGGGAAUUUGCUAUGCGCUUACUGUUUUGUGUCCUUGUACACGGGCUGCCCUUGGGAUUCAUCACUAAAACAUCCGGGUGAUGCUGCAAACCGUGUUUCCACAUUAAGUGAUUCAUCUUAAAUGCAUGAAAUGAAAGAAAACAGAAAGCUGAGUUGCUGUAUAAAUGGGGCAAGUUAGUGAAACAAGGAGGAUGGCCCAGACUCUCUGCAUUUAAGAAGUAUGGCUCCUAUGAGAAUUUUCCGUGCACACAGAAUUGCCAAGGAAGUUGUGGAGGUCUUCACAGAUUCCCUGAAAUAUCUGUAACCAUGUCAGUCCUCCAAGUUUCUUUUGUGAAGAUGGGAACAGCAUGUGGUAUUACCAUUUCCUCUGCUUAAAACCAUCACCCCAUCACUGGGCUGUCAUUUCAGCAACAUCUUAACAAAUGAAAAUUCUCCUCUGAGUCAAUAGUAAUUAUAGGAAUUUAUCACAAUUGCCAAUCAAGGUGUUCUGAAGAGACUCAUCUUUCUUGUUAAAUUAGCUUUCACUGCACGCAAACAGUGAGUUAUCUUUAGGAAAUCAAUUGCGGGGAAAUUACAGCUUUCAUGGAGUGAUAUAACCUUGCCAAUGGUCUUGUUAUACAAAAUUCCUCUACCAAGAAAUUCAGCUGGGCUCACAUCACUUAUUUUCCGGGUCUGUAUUUCAAUGCAGUAAAUGUGGAAAAAGUCAACUUCCGAGAGCCAAGGAAGGGGGCAGAGACCAGGACCUUGGAAAUGUCUCAAGACACCUGCAGCCAAUUAAACCAUCACCCCAGAAGAGGUCAGGAGGCUGAGGAUGUCAUUUCAAAAGACUUUGAUCCAAGGGAUUUGAGGAUAGAUGUCCUGGCGGGAGAUGUUACUGGCUGUUUUGUACAUGCUUACGCUAGAAGAAGCUUUGGUUGGAGGAGACUUUGAGUAAUUACCGAGCUCUUUAAAGAAGCAGUAACAUCGGAGGUUCUUCUCAGAAGCCUUGGUGACAUGGGUGAUCAGGGACCAUUUCCUGCGGCAGCUGGAGGAAGUCCAUUUUAGCAUUUAAUCUCUGCUACAGGUUCCCACAUCAAAGGGUGGAUACCUAUAAAUGCUCUACCUGGAUGUGACAGAAAGAAGCCAAGCAGGCACACGACAAGGUCACUCUCUCCAACAGGUGGCUUCCAUGUCUGUGUGAAGGAGGCGAAGAAGUGCUAUCACGCUGGCCCCAGCUCCCUUUAGGAAAUUCUUUGAAAUCUGCUUUAGUGCACAAAGGAUCAAGCGCUUAUAUUUGAGAGACUAAAAUCAUACCCUCUUUUUAUUUAAUACAGGUUUUUUUUUUUCUUUCUGUUUUGUGUAGAUCGGCAUAUAUAGCCAGCACAAUAAAGAGGUCACAAAUAAACAGGUUUAAAGAGUAUAGAAAACUGUAAGUUCUCUGUAGCAUUCCUAUGCGAAGUUAGAGAUCUGCACUUGGACACAAAGGAGGAUGGAGAUGAAGAGGUUGCUUCAGAAGAACAAGACGCAGGUUUUCAGAGCCGUCGUGGUCAGGGGUGGAGAAGAGGCAUCGCUCAGCAUCUGCAGAUAACUUUGUGCAAAGAUGAAAAGGUAGCAAUAGCUGAAUGGAUGUUACAGGUGGCUGAAUUAAUUAACUCCAAAUCCCAACACCCCAAAACAUCCGGCGCUGGGAUUAGGGAAUCAGAGCUAGUUUACUAGCGAAUCCCAAAUCUCAGACAUUAUUUGGAUUCAAAUUGGAACUCUUGCAGACGGAUGGAGGUGGGAAAAGGAUUAGGGAAAUGGAGGGAGGGGUGGAUGCAUUCUUUCUCCUCUGGGAAUAACUUGCUGUCUCUCCUUCAUUUCUUCUCUUUGUUCUCUUGUCCCUCUCUUUGUCCUUCUGUUUGCCAUCCUUCUUCGUUCAUUCUUCCCUCUCUUCCUCUGCCUCCCAACGUCGGGAUGUCUGUCACCCGACUCUUCCUAUUCCUAUCAGCCUCCUCUUCCCCUGUUGCUGUCUCUCAACUCUUUUUCACUCUGCUUUCCUCCUUUUUUUUAAUUUAUGGCUUUUUUCUAUCACUUAAAGGCACGCAAGUACUGCUUGAUUAGUUUUUCUCCAUUCCAGAACAUUCGAGUUAACAAAACAAGUGAAAAAUCACUGCCAAGAGGAAAGCGGGAAUAUGGAAAACAAGCAUGAACAGCCACCAAGGGGAACAGCAAACACGCAGAAAAGAGAGGACUUCUGUCAGCGACCAUGAAACUGUGAUAGACUAAUGUGUUGGCUUGUGAGUAGAGAACAAUCUCAGAUCCUGCACAGUUCUUGACAUCUGUCCAGCCGCUAGCUGCUGUCACUGUCCUAAGGGAGGCAGCGGAUGUUUGAGUGGUGAAGCCAUCUUGGGCAUCUGGGCCCUAGAAGAUACCACAUGGACCAGAAGAACUGCCCAGCUGAGCCCAGCCCACAUUUCAGAAUCAUGAAAAAUAAUGUGUUGUUGUUUCAAGCUAAUUUGGGGAUGGUUUGAUAAUCAUCUAAUAACAUUUAGGGAGCACAGCUGUCAUUUCCUCCUUCCAGAAGAAGUCCAAAUGGUUCUCAUAGUCAUUUCUGUUCACUACUCAUAAAUUUCCUACAUACCUGGAAUCAUACUUUACACAUCUAAAUAGAUCUGCCUCUAUCCUAAAUACAAAGAUUUUGAAAUUGAACAUUCAGACUCAACAACUGCUAAUGGCCCCCAUUGCUGAUAGGAAAAAAUUUAAGGUCUUCCCUAUCUGCACCUGUUCUCUCUAUCUGAUGUUAUUAUCCAUAACUUCCCCAUCAGAAUUUUUUCUGUUAUUCUACUUUGUACUUUUUAUUCUUUUUCUUGAUUCUAAACCUUAACUACUACUAUUUCUUUGGACUAGGUUGCCCUCCCUCUGUCAUUAUUACUAAAUCAUACCUACUCUUCCAACUUGUACCCUUGUUGAUUUUCUUUUUUUCCUUUUGAGACAGGGUCUUG